UCUGUGAUGCCCUUAGAUGUUCUGGGCCGCACGCGCGCUACACUGAUCAAGUCAACGAGUUUACAACCUUGGCCGGAAGGUCUGGGUAAUCUUUUGAAACUUGAUCGUGCUGGGGAUAGUCCAUUGCAAUUAUUGGACUUCAACGAGGAAUUCCUAGUAAGCGUGAGUCAUCAGCUCGCGUUGAUUACGUCCCUGCCCUUUGUACACACC
RNAcentral lists this ribosomal RNA (210 nucleotides) under uncultured fungus. Its description in RNAcentral is "partial 18S rRNA". It matches the Rfam family "Eukaryotic small subunit ribosomal RNA", at positions 1461 to 1670 of the family's 1831-position model. The record is from RNAcentral. Lineage: Eukaryota; Fungi.